RNAcentral lists this ribosomal RNA (160 nucleotides) under Azospirillum sp. Azo-BM31. RNAcentral's name for it is "partial 16S ribosomal RNA". It matches the Rfam family "Bacterial small subunit ribosomal RNA", at positions 91 to 270 of the family's 1533-position model. The record is from RNAcentral. Lineage: Bacteria; Pseudomonadati; Pseudomonadota; Alphaproteobacteria; Rhodospirillales; Azospirillaceae.
CUUAGUGGCGCACGGGUGAGUAACACGUGGGAACCUGCCUUUCGGUUCGGGAUAACGUCUGGAAACGGACGCUAACACCGGAUACGUCCUUCGGGAGAAAGUUUACGCCGAGAGAGGGGCCCGCGUCCGAUUAGGUAGUUGGUGGGGUAAUGGCCCACCA